RNAcentral lists this ribosomal RNA (429 nucleotides) under Pseudomonadota bacterium. RNAcentral's name for it is "Proteobacteria bacterium partial 16S ribosomal RNA". It matches the Rfam family "Bacterial small subunit ribosomal RNA", at positions 355 to 776 of the family's 1533-position model. Lineage: Bacteria; Pseudomonadati; Pseudomonadota. The record is from RNAcentral.
UGGGGAAUAUUGGACAAUGGGCGAAAGCCUGAUCCAGCCAUGCCGCGUGUGUGAAGAAGGUCUUCGGAUUGUAAAGCACUUUAAGUUGGGAGGAAGGGCAGUAAGCGAAUACCUUGCUGUUUUGACGUUACCGACAGAAUAAGCACCGGCUAACUCUGUGCCAGCAGCCGCGGUAAUACAGAGGGUGCAAGCGUUAAUCGGAAUUACUGGACGUAAAGCGCGCGUAGGUGGUUCGUUAAGUUGAAUGUGAAAGCCCCGGGCUCAACCUGGGAACUGCAUCCAAAACUGGCGAGCUAGAGUAGGGCAGAGGGUGGUGGAAUUUCCUGUGUAGCGGUGAAAUGCGUAGAUAUAGGAAGGAACACCAGUGGCGAAGGCGACCACCUGGGCUCAUACUGACACUGAGGUGCGAAAGCGUGGGGAGCAAACAGG